Molecule: ribosomal RNA, 292 nt
Filed under: uncultured bacterium
Lineage: Bacteria
Description: partial 16S ribosomal RNA
Rfam family: Bacterial small subunit ribosomal RNA
Source: RNAcentral
GUGUCAGCAGCCGCGGUAAUACGGAGGGUGCAAGCGUUAUCCGGAUUCACUGGGUUUAAAGGGUGCGUAGGUGGGCUAGUAAGUCCGUGGUGAAAUCUCUGAGCUUAACUCGGAAACUGCCGUGGAUACUAUUAGUCUUGAAUCUCGUGGAGGUAAGCGGAAUAUGUCAUGUAGCGGUGAAAUGCUUAGAUAUGACAUAGAACACCGAUAGCGAAGGCAGCUUGCUACACGAGUAUUGACACUGAGGCACGAAAGCGUGGGGAUCAAACAGGAUUAGAUACCCUGGUAGUCC